GACGAACGCUGGCGGCGUGCUUAACACAUGCAAGUCGAACGGAAAGGCCCUGCUUUUGUGGGGUGCGCGAGUGGCGAACGGGUGAGUAACACGUGAGUAACCUGCCCUUGACUUUGGGAUAACUUCAGGAAACUGGGGCUAAUACCGGAUAGGAGCUCCUGCUGCAUGGUGGGGGUUGGAAAGUUUCGGCGGUUGGGGAUGGACUCGCGGCUUAUCAGCUUGUUGGUGGGGUAGUGGCUCACCAAGGCUUGGACGGGUAGCCGGCCUGAGAGGGUUACCGGCAACAGUGGGACAGAGAUACGGCCCAGACUCCUACGGGAGGCAGCAGUGGGGAAGAGUGCACAAUGGGCGGAAGCCUGAUGCAGCAACGCCGCGUGCGGGAUGACGGCCCUCGGGUUGUAAACCGCUUUCGCCUGUGACGAAGCGUGAGUGAAGGUAAUGGGUAAAGAAGCACCGGCUAACUACGUG
Molecule: ribosomal RNA, 468 nt
Filed under: uncultured bacterium
Lineage: Bacteria
Description: partial 16S ribosomal RNA
Rfam family: Bacterial small subunit ribosomal RNA
Source: RNAcentral